AUCCCCCCUCCCUGCACUCCUGCAGGAAGGUGAGAAUCGGGACAGUCGCAGGCUGGGAGACGCUCUGCUUUUCCUGCGUCCUGCUGGGAGCUGCGCGCUCCAGGUAUCCUGGCCUGCCGCCCUAGCCGGCCCAAGGAGCCACACAGGACAGUUGACCCAACACUUCUGCCACCUGAAGAACGACACCUGCAUUCCUCCAUCUCUGGGACCACCAAGGAACUCAGGGAGCUUGGAAUCUCUCAGAUCAAAAAGAUACUGACUCAUCGGAUAGCCAUGCCAUCCUGAAAACGGCCUUACUUGUGAAGUGGAGGUUCUGGAUCCGAACGACCCUUUAGGACCCCUUGAUGGGCAGGACGGCCCGAUUCCAACUCUGAAAGGUUACUUUCUGAAUUUUCUGGAGCCAGUAAACAAUAUCACCAUUGUCCAAGGCCAGACGGCAAUUCUGCACUGCAAGGUGGCAGGAAACCCACCCCCUAACGUGCGGUGGCUAAAGAAUGAUGC
Molecule: small RNA, 501 nt
Filed under: Pan troglodytes (chimpanzee)
Lineage: Eukaryota; Metazoa; Chordata; Mammalia; Primates; Hominidae
Description: processed transcript
Source: RNAcentral